AUACGUAGGUGGCAAGCGUUGUCCGGAAUUAUUGGGCGUAAAGAGCAUGUAGGCGGGCCUUUAAGUCCGACGUGAAAAUGCGGGGCUCAACCCCGUAUGGCGUUGGAUACUGGAGGUCUUGAGUGCAGGAGAGGAAAGGGGAAUUCCCAGUGUAGCGGUGAAAUGCGUAGAUAUUGGGAGGAACACCAGUGGCGAAGGCGCCUUUCUGGACUGUGUCUGACGCUCAGAUGCGAAAGCUAGGGUAGCAAACGGGAUUAGAUACCCCGGUAGUCCUAGCCGUAAACGAUGGGUACUAGGUGUGGGACGUAUCGACCCCUUCCGUGCCGGAGUUAACGCAAUAAGUACCCCGCCUGGGGACUACGAUCGCAAGAUUGAA
Molecule: ribosomal RNA, 376 nt
Filed under: uncultured bacterium
Lineage: Bacteria
Description: bacterial SSU rRNA
Rfam family: Bacterial small subunit ribosomal RNA
Source: RNAcentral